This 468-nucleotide ribosomal RNA is filed under the name uncultured bacterium. Its description in RNAcentral is "partial 16S ribosomal RNA". It matches the Rfam family "Bacterial small subunit ribosomal RNA", at positions 28 to 507 of the family's 1533-position model. The record is from RNAcentral.
GACGAAUGCUGGCGGCGUGCUUAACACAUGCAAGUCGAACGGAAAGGCCCUGCUUUUGUGGGGUGCUCGAGUGGCGAACGGGUGAGUAACACGUGAGUAACCUGCCCUUGACUUUGGGAUAACUUCAGGAAACUGGGGCUAAUACCGGAUAGGAGCUCCUGCUGCAUGGUGGGGGUUGGAAAGUUUCGGCGGUUGGGGAUGGACUCGCGGCUUAUCAGCUUGUUGGUGGGGUAGUGGCUUACCAAGGCUUUGACGGGUAGCCGGCCUGAGAGGGUGACCGGCCACAUUGGGACUGAGAUACGGCCCAGACUCCUACGGGAGGCAGCAGUGGGGAAUAUUGCACAAUGGGCGGAAGCCUGAUGCAGCAACGCCGCGUGCGGGAUGAAGGCCUUCGGGUUGUAAACCGCUUUCGCCUGUGACGAAGCGUGAGUGACGGUAAUGGGUAAAGAAGCACCGGCUAACUACGUG